AUUGAACGCUGGCGGCAGGCUUAACACAUGCAAGUCGAACGGUAACAGGAAGAAAGCUUGCUUUCUUUGCUGACGGGUGGCGGACGGGUGAGUAAUGCUUGGGAAUCUGCCUUAUGGAGGGGGAUAACUACGGGAAACUGUAGCUAAUACCGCGUAAUGUCUACGGACUAAAGUACGGGAUCUUCGGACCAUAUGCCAUAAGAUGAGCCCAAGUGAGAUUAGGUAGUUGGUGAGGUAAAGGCUCACCAAGCUGACGAUCUCUAGCUGGUUUGAGAGGAUGACCAGCCACACUGGAACUGAGACACGGUCCAGACUCCUACGGGAGGCAGCAGUGGGGAAUAUUGCACAAUGGGCGCAAGCCUGAUGCAGCCAUGCCGCGUGAAUGAAGAAGGCUUUCGGGUUGUAAAGUUCUUUCAGCGAUGAGGAAGGUUGUGUAUCUAAUAGGUAUGCAAAUUGACGUUAGUCGCAGAAGAAGCACCGGCUAACUCCGUGCCAGCAGCCGCGGUAAUACGGAGGGUGCGAGCGUUAAUCGGAAUAACUGGGCGUAAAGGGCACGCAGGCGGUUGUCUAAGUCAGAUGUGAAAGCCCCGAGCUUAACUUGGGAAUUGCAUUUGAGACUGGGCGACUAGAGUCCUCUAGGGAGGGGUAGAAUUCCACGUGUAGCGGUGAAAUGCGUAGAGAUGUGGAGGAAUACCGAAGGCGAAGGCAGCCCCUUGGAGAGAGACUGACGCUGAGGUGCGAAAGCGUGGGUAGCAAACAGG
This 761-nucleotide ribosomal RNA is filed under the name uncultured bacterium. Its description in RNAcentral is "bacterial SSU rRNA". It matches the Rfam family "Bacterial small subunit ribosomal RNA", at positions 28 to 776 of the family's 1533-position model. The record is from RNAcentral.